UACGGAGGGGGCUAGCGUUGUUCGGAAUUACUGGGCGUAAAGCGCUCGUAGGCGGCUUUGCAAGUUAGCGGUGAAAGCCCAGGGCUUAACCCUGGAAUUGCCUUUAAGACUGCAUCGCUAGAAUCGUGGAGAGGUGAGUGGAAUUCCGAGUGUAGAGGUGAAAUUCGUAGAUAUUCGGAAGAACACCAGUGGCGAAGGCGACUCACUGGAUCGGUACUGACGCUGAGGUGCGAAAGCGUGGGGAGCAAACAGG
This 253-nucleotide ribosomal RNA is filed under the name uncultured bacterium. RNAcentral's name for it is "partial 16S ribosomal RNA". It matches the Rfam family "Bacterial small subunit ribosomal RNA", at positions 524 to 776 of the family's 1533-position model. The record is from RNAcentral.